RNAcentral lists this ribosomal RNA (467 nucleotides) under uncultured bacterium. Its description in RNAcentral is "partial 16S ribosomal RNA". It matches the Rfam family "Bacterial small subunit ribosomal RNA", at positions 28 to 507 of the family's 1533-position model. The record is from RNAcentral.
GACGAACGCUGGCGGCGUGCUUAACACAUGCAAGUCGAACGGAAAGGCCCUGCUUUUGUGGGGUGCUCGAGUGGCGAACAGGUGAGUAACACGUGAGUAACCUGCCCUUGACUUUGGGAUAACUUCAGGAAACUGGGCUAAUACCGGAUAGGAGCUCCUGCUGCAUGGUGGGGGUUGGAAAGUUUCGGCGGUUGGGGAUGGACUCGCGGCUUAUCAGCUUGUUGGUGGGGUAGUGGCUUACCAAGGCUUUGACGGGUAGCCGGCCUGAGAGGGUGACCGGCGACAUUGGGACUGAGAUACGGCCCAGACUCCUACGGGAGGCAGCAGUGGGGAGUAUUGCACAAUGGGCGGAAGCCUGAUGCAGCAACGCCGCGUGCGGGGUGACGGCCUUCGGGUUGUAAACCGCUUUCGCCUGUGACGAAGCGUGAGUGACGGUAAUGGGUAAAGAAGCACCGGCUAACUACGUG